This 638-nucleotide ribosomal RNA is filed under the name Curtobacterium sp. Ri2Ps_4934. RNAcentral describes it as "bacterial SSU rRNA". It matches the Rfam family "Bacterial small subunit ribosomal RNA", at positions 382 to 1031 of the family's 1533-position model. Lineage: Bacteria; Bacillati; Actinomycetota; Actinomycetes; Micrococcales; Microbacteriaceae. The record is from RNAcentral.
CCUGAUGCAGCAACGCCGCGUGAGGGAUGACGGCCUUCGGGUUGUAAACCUCUUUUAGUAGGGAAGAAGCGAAAGUGACGGUACCUGCAGAAAAAGCACCGGCUAACUACGUGCCAGCAGCCGCGGUAAUACGUAGGGUGCAAGCGUUGUCCGGAAUUAUUGGGCGUAAAGAGCUCGUAGGCGGUUUGUCGCGUCUGCUGUGAAAUCCCGAGGCUCAACCUCGGGCUUGCAGUGGGUACGGGCAGACUAGAGUGCGGUAGGGGAGAUUGGAAUUCCUGGUGUAGCGGUGGAAUGCGCAGAUAUCAGGAGGAACACCGAUGGCGAAGGCAGAUCUCUGGGCCGUAACUGACGCUGAGGAGCGAAAGCAUGGGGAGCGAACAGGAUUAGAUACCCUGGUAGUCCAUGCCGUAAACGUUGGGCGCUAGAUGUAGGGACCUUUCCACGGUUUCUGUGUCGUAGCUAACGCAUUAAGCGCCCCGCCUGGGGAGUACGGCCGCAAGGCUAAAACUCAAAGGAAUUGACGGGGGCCCGCACAAGCGGCGGAGCAUGCGGAUUAAUUCGAUGCAACGCGAAGAACCUUACCAAGGCUUGACAUACACCGGAAACGGCCAGAGAUGGUCGCCCCCUUGUGGUCGGUG